This is an RNA transcript of Synchiropus splendidus (mandarinfish), 12422 nucleotides long. It is a transcript of the gene named dynein axonemal heavy chain 12-like, with no coding region annotated. NCBI's taxonomy places the organism in Eukaryota, Metazoa, Chordata, Actinopteri, Syngnathiformes, Callionymidae. The transcript has 75 exons. The record is from RefSeq and is a predicted model, not a curated record.
GCGAAGUAUGUGCUGCAAAACACAGUUUAGAAAGGUGAAAAUACUGCAAACAUCAGCACCAGUUAGUACUACUUCACUUAUUUAUUAUUACUUUUUAAUUGAUAAAAAAAAUGUUAUCAACACAGAAAGUUGCAACUGAAGACGGCGCUACCAUCUUCCCUAGCUAUGUCAGAAGCAGUGUAUUGAGACGUAACUCUUCUUGAAACUGGUUUGCUUCGAAGAUCCAGCGGAUAUAAGUCAUAAUGGAUAAGGGGAAACUGCCAGGGCCCUCCUCUGCAGAUGGCAGAGAGGAGGUGGACACAGCAGGUAUAGAUGAGGAGGAGAUGCGGAGACAGAGGCUGAUCAUGCACCAGAGGAGUAGCGAGGAGCAGCACCAACUGCACAUGAAAAUGGUGUCCGGUGCGAUGGAUUUCUACAGGCAGAGCAUCGAAAAGGGGCAUGUGAGCAGUCAGUGGGCAGAGCCAGUCUUUCCAUUCCCAAUGCUGACCGAUGAACGCAGACGACGAAUGAACUGGAUGUGUCUGAAGCAUUUCAUGGAGAGUCGUCCGCUCUCGCCCAUCCCAAGUCCCUGGUUAGACUCCAUCGUUGGACGAGUUCCAUCAAAACUUCAAGAUAGUUUUGAGAAGUAUUGCCUGCUCCAAGAGCUGUGCAAGGAAGUCAGAGAAAUGUUUUAUGACGUUAUCAUGGAGCACAUAGUGGACACAAUCCUAAAGAACCCAGAAACUGAAGGAACCAUCAUCGCAAAACAGACAUCUGUCAAGCUAAAGAUUCUGGAGUAUUCUUUUUUAUGGAGGAGCAGCUUCACUGACAGCCGGAAGAUGAUCAAGAAGAGUCUGAACAUCCUUCAUCCAGUCAUGCAAACUCUUUUGGAUCUGUGCUACUCUACCUUCACCCCAAUAGUGCUCAUCAAUUUCCCCACUUACAAAGUUUCAGGCCCUUUUGACUGCAAAGCCCUUCUAAAGAAAGUAACAGAAGACUGCCGGAGGCAAGAGAACCACAUCAUGAACACCUGGUUUCCAAAGGUCAUACACCUACUAACUAAUGAGGAAACUUUGGAGGGCGUGAGAGAAGAAAGAGUAGAUGCCUUCUUUAACUGUGCAUCAACACUGUUGUCGAACCAGCUGAAAUCUUUUCUUCAGAGGAGUGUCGAGGAGUUUGUGGACUUGUUUGAGCCUUUUGAUGAUUGCUGCACGCCACUCUAUUGUAUGGCGCUGACAUUCAAGCGAGAAAAGAUGGGCAUUUUCCCCACUCUGGAUGAUCUGGAAGUUGCUAUAUUUGAAAUUCUUAACUGCAUCACGAACACAUUGCAGAAAGUGAAGACAAUUCAGUCGUGGCUGACACCCAUCUCUAUUCGAUAUGUGGACGCUAAAGUUGCCGAUCAUGUCCUCGCUUGGGCUCGGGAGACCGUCAAGCGUGUUGUACGAGGGAAUCUAGAGGAGCCUGACCAACAUUUCAAGACUUUUGUCAACAAUUACAGCUGGUUGGUCGACGGAACUGCAAAAGCCAGAGUGGAAAAGUUCAUCAAAGGGAAUCACUCUUUCGACCAAUACAUCGAGAAAGUGGAAGAGUUCAGCAACCUGACCAUAGAAAUCCUGAACCUGUCCGAUAAAGUCAACUUCGCCAUGGUCCAUCUGGACUGUGAGGAGCUCAAACAGGGGCUGGUCAAUAAAGCGAAACACUUUGCUCAGGUCCUUCUGAAUAAAAUGAUGGAUGAUCUCCGGGAUCAGAAUUUACAGAUCUGCUCUGACUUUGAAACCAUCAAAGACACGGCGCUGAUGGUUCCAGAAACGACUGAGGAAAUCACUCAGAUGUUGGAGUACAUAGAGUUUACUAAAACAAAAACCAUUCCUCGGUUGAAGGAAACUAUAACGGAUGCUUCAUACCGUCUCAUCUACCUCCUGGAUUUCCACGUCAUGGAUAAAGACGACCCUGAAUUGAACACCACAGUCUUCCUCUGGCUGCAGAAAAUGAUGGAUAUAUUUGACAACAAUGUGGAGCUCGUCCAAAAGUCGAAAGAUAAGGAACAGAAGUCACUACUAGAAAGACGAACGAAAUUAGUGGAACAUUUGGAAAAGUUGGGGAAGAGUAUAGAGAUUUUGCCUUAUUACUGCGAGCUUCAUAUGAUGGAACAGUACAUGGCAGAAGUCCGAACUUUCAAGAAACUUGUUCAGGAAGCCGAGGAUGAGAUUAUCUUCAUAAAUAAGGAGGAGAAAUUCUUUGAAUUUGAAGAAACUGAAUAUCCCGAAGCUCAAGUCAUCCAGGAGACGAUUGAGCCAUACAACAAUCUGUUUAAAUUUGUCCUCAACUGGCAGUGUUUGGAGCAAAAAUGGAUGGACGGGUCCUUUGACGACCUGGACGGCGAAAAAAUGGCGGGAAAAGUGGACGAAUGCUUCAGGGAGAUGUUCAAGAUGAUGAAGUUUUUCCAACAGAAGCCUUUCAAACCUGACGAAGAGACGGAAAAGAAGAUGGCUAGACGGAGACCGGAUGAAGAUCCAAGCAAACAGCUGAGUCCCACGAUGCAGUUGUGCACCAAUGUUAUGAAUCAGAUUAAAGAAUUUAGGGAAUAUAUCCCGAUUGUGUGCGUGCUGUGCAAUCAAGGGUUGAGACCACGUCACUGGGAAAAAAUGUCUGAAAUUGUGGGCUUUGACCUGACGCCGAAUGAAAGCACCACGCUUCGCUCAGUGCUAGCAAACAAUCUGACAAUCCACUUAGAACCGCUCGAGUCCAUCAGUGCUGCUGCAACUAAAGAAUUCUCACUGGAGAAGGCCAUGCAAACCAUGCUCACCAUCUGGAACAAUAUAUCCUUCAACCAUCAACUCUACAGAGAGACAGGAGUGUCAAUCCUGACCGCAGUGGAUGAGAUCCAGACCAUGCUGGAUGACCAGAUUGUGAAGACUCAAACCAUGAGGAGCUCUCCCUUCAUCAAGCCUUUUGAGACGGAGAUCCGGGAAUGGGAGGCACGUCUGCUUCACAUACAAGAGACGAUAGAUGAGUGGCUGAAGGUACAAGCUUCCUGGCUCUACCUGGAGCCCAUCUUCUCCUCUCAGGACAUCAUGCAGCAGAUUCCAGAGGAGGGAAGUCUCUUUCAAAUUGUGGACAAGAACUGGAGGGAGGUCAUGAAGCACUGUGUCAAAGACUCAAAGAUUCUACCGGCAACGUCAAUGCCUGGUUUGUUGGAAAAACUGCAACAAUCCAAUGAACAUUUGGACACUAUAAUGAAAGGGCUAAAUGCCUAUCUGGAGAAGAAGCGUCUCUUUUUCCCAAGGUUCUUCUUCCUGUCCAAUGAUGAGAUGUUGGAAAUCCUGUCCGAGACCAAGGAUCCUUUGCGAGUACAGCCCCAUCUUAAAAAGUGCUUUGAGGGUAUUUCCAAACUGGAUUUCCUUCCAAAUCUGGACAUCCAGGCCAUGUAUAGCAGUGAGGGAGAGCGUGUGGCGUUGAUCGACCUCAUAUCGACAGCUGAAGCCAAGGGAGCCGUGGAGAAGUGGCUGGUGCAGGUGGAAGACUUGAUGCUGCGCAGCGUCAGAGAUGUCAUCGCGCGUUCCAGACUGGCCUAUGCUGAGACUAAAAGAAGCCAGUGGGUGAAAGAGUGGCCUGGGCAGGUGGUUCUCUGCACCUCUCAGAUCUUCUGGACGUUGGAAGUCCAUGAAGCCAUCAGAUCUGGCCCUGGGGGUUUAGAGAAUUACUAUGAUGAGCUUCAGAGCCAACUGAAUGACAUUGUGGAACUGGUGAGAGGGAAACUGGCCAAGCAAACACGAACCACUCUUGGAGCUCUGGUCACCAUUGACGUUCACGCCAGGGACGUUGUCAUGGAGCUCAUUGAGAAAGGUGUUUCCAAAGAAUCAGACUUCCAGUGGCUCGCACAGCUCCGAUAUUACUGGGCCACCGAUAACGUCCGUGUCCGCAUCAUUAACUGUGACGUGAAGUACGCCUAUGAGUACCUGGGGAACUCCCCACGCUUGGUCAUCACCCCACUGACGGACAGAUGCUACAGAACACUGAUUGGGGCGUUUUACCUGAAUUUAGGGGGGGCUCCUGAGGGUCCUGCUGGAACUGGAAAGACUGAAACCACCAAGGACCUUGCCAAAGCCCUGGCUGUGCAGUGUGUGGUCUUCAACUGCUCCGAUGGGUUGGAUUACCUGGCAAUGGGCAAAUUCUUCAAAGGCCUGGCUUCAUCUGGCGCCUGGGCCUGCUUUGAUGAAUUCAAUCGCAUCGAGCUUGAGGUGUUGUCUGUGGUGGCGCAGCAGGUCCUCUGCAUCCAGAGAGCCAUUGAGCUGAAGCUGAAGCAGUUUGACUUUGAGGGCACCAUGUUAAAGCUUAACCCCAACUGUUUUGUGUCAAUCACGAUGAAUCCAGGCUACGCAGGACGAUCAGAGCUUCCUGACAAUCUUAAGGUUCUGUUCCGAACUGUCGCCAUGAUGGUUCCUAACUAUGCAUUGAUCGCAGAGAUCUCACUGUAUUCGUACGGCUUCUUAAACGCCAAGCCUCUCUCUGUCAAGAUCGUGAUGACAUACAGGCUUUGUUCUGAGCAGCUGUCGUCCCAGUUCCACUACGACUACGGCAUGCGGGCCGUGAAAGCUGUUCUUGUGGCCGCCGGAAACCUGAAGCUCAGUUUCCCUGAUGAGAACGAAGACAUAUUGCUCUUGAGGUCCAUUAAGGAUGUUAAUGAGCCCAAGUUCCUUUCGCACGAUAUCCCACUGUUUAAUGGAAUUACAAGUGAUUUGUUUCCUGGAAUCACACUCCCAGUGGCAGACUACAGGUUGUUUUUGGAGGCCGCUGAAAAAUGCUGUAAAGAACACAAUGUCCAGGCAACGGAGGUCUUCAUACAGAAGAUGAUUCAGACCUAUGAAAUGAUGAUCGUCAGACAUGGGUUUAUGCUGGUUGGAGAACCCUUCGCUGGGAAGACUAAAGUGCUGCAAGUUCUUGCUGACACCUUAACAUAUAUGAAUAAAAAAGGAUACGGCGAGGAAGAGAAGGUCAUCUACAGAACUUUGAAUCCAAAGUCCAUUACCAUGGGGCAGCUUUUUGGACAGUUUGAUCUGGUGUCCCAUGAGUGGACAGAUGGGAUCGUGGCCAACACCUUCCGUGAGUUUGCAUCAGCUGAGACGCCGGAGCGUAAAUGGGUGGUGUUUGACGGUCCCAUUGACACUUUAUGGAUCGAGAGCAUGAACACUGUGCUGGAUGACAACAAAAAGUUAUGCUUGAUGAGUGGAGAGAUCAUCCAAAUGUCCAAUCAGAUGAGUCUUAUAUUUGAAGCUAUGGAUCUCUCACAGGCCUCGCCUGCCACAGUCAGCCGGUGUGGUAUGAUCUACAUGGAACCGUCUCAGCUAGGCUGGGAGCCGUUGGUCAUCUCCUGGAUGAACACCCUCCCUGAAACCUUCCAAGAGCCAGAGUGCACCACGCUGAUGAUGGAUCUGUUUCACUGGUUACUGCCACCAUCCAUUCGGAUGUUGAAUAAAAACUGCAGAGAGGUGGUUCCAACCAGCCCCAGUAAUACAGCAGUGUCCUUGUGCCGCUUGUUUGAGAUGCUGCUCACAGAGCCAGUUAAGACGGAGCCAGAUGAAAAAACUCUGCGUGUUUGGAUCAUGGCAGCCUUCGCAUUCUCCCUGGUGUGGUCUGUCGGUGGCAGCUGUGAUACAAGCAGCAGGGAGAAGUUCAGUGACUUUGUGAAGGUGAUGCUGACAGGAAAGUCGGAAGAGCUUCCAAUCCCAGACACUUUGGGGAAAUGGGAAUGUCCCUUUGACGACAAAGGCAUGGCGUACGACUACAGCUACGAGUUUAAAGGAAGAGGCAGGUGGGUUCACUGGAAUGAAGCCAUCCAGGACAUCGAACUGGGGGACAAGAACACAAAAGUGCAGGACAUAAUUGUCCCGACAAUUGACACAGUCCGUUACACCUACCUGAUGGAUCUUUGUCUCACAUAUGCAGUGCCCAUUCUUUUUGUGGGUCCGACUGGAACUGGAAAGUCAGUCUACGUGAAGGAAAAGUUGAUGAACAAUCUGGAUAGAGAGCUUUACAUACCCUUUUUCAUCAAUUUUUCAGCACGCACAAAUGCGAACCAAACACAGAAUAUCAUGAUGUCCUGGUUGGAUAAGAGAAGGAAGGGGGUCUUUGGUCCCCCAAUGGGAAAGAAGUGUGUCAUCUUUGUGGAUGAUAUGAGCAUGCCUGCUCUGGAGCAGUUUGGAGCUCAGCCUCCUGUGGAGCUGCUACGACAGUUUAUAGACCAUGGGAACUGGUAUGACCUGAAGGACACCUCCAGAAUCACCCUGGUGGACCUCCAGCUCAUCUCAGCUAUGGGUCCCCCUGGUGGAGGACGAAACGCUGUAACAUCUCGAUUCCUGCGUCACUUCAACAUUGUCAGUAUCAACGCCUUCAGUGAUGACACAAUGGUUCGCAUCUUUUCAAACAUAGUGGCCUUCUAUCUCAAAAAUAACGCAUUCCCUCCUGAGUAUUUCACCGUGGGCAACCAAAUAGUGACGGCCACCAUGGAGGUGUACAAGAAGGCGAUGGAGAACUUGCUUCCCACUCCAGCAAAGUCCCACUACACUUUCAACCUCAGAGACUUCUCUCGUGUCAUCCAAGGCUGUUUACUCUUGAAGAAGCAGUCACUGGAGAACAAACGCACUAUGAUACGGCUGUUUGUCCACGAGGUCUUCAGAGUGUAUUACGACCGCCUCGUGGACGACCAAGAUCGAGCAUGGCUCUACGAGCUGAUCCAAGGCAUCCUGAAGGAUCAUUUCAAAGAGUCAUUUGACCAAGUGUUCGAACACCUGAAACAAGGAAACAAAUUGGUGGAGCAGGACUUGCUCAGUCUGCUGUUCGGUGACUACAUGGAACCUGACCUUGAGGACGACGCACGCUUGUAUAUGGAGAUUCCUUCCAUGGACAGUUUUGCUGAGAUUGUGGAAGGUUGUCUUGAGGAAUUCAACCAAACCCAACGAAAUCGGAUGAGUCUAGUGAUAUUCCGCUAUGUGCUGGAGCAUCUCUCACGCAUCAGCCGUGUGCUAAAGCAACCUGGAGGCAAUGCUCUUCUUGUGGGAGUAGGAGGCAGCGGACGCCAGUCCAUCACCCGUUUGGCCGGGUUCAUGGCCCACAUGAACAUUUUCCAGCCUCAAAUCUCAAAGAGCUACGGGAUGCAGGAGUGGAGAGACGAUGUUAAGAUGCUGCUGAAAAACGCUGGGGUGAAAGGUCAGAAAACAGUGUUCUUGCUAACUGAUGCUCAGAUUAAGGACGAGGCUUUUCUGGAAGAUGUGGACAGUGUUUUGAACACCGGAGAAGUGCCCAAUCUGUUUGCUGUGGACGAAAAACAGGAAAUCAUGGAGACAGUACGUCCUUUAGCCCAAGCAGGGAACAAGAAUCUGGAGUUGAGUCCUUUGAGUCUCUUUGCCUACUAUGUGUCACGCUGCAGAGCAAACCUGCACAUCAUUGUGGCCUUCAGUCCAAUUGGAGAUGCUUUCCGAAAUCGCUUGAGACAGUUCCCCUCCCUCAUUAACUGCUGUACCAUCGACUGGUUCCAGCCCUGGCCUGAAGAAGCUCUCGAGCGUGUCGCUAAUUCUUUCUUGGAGUCUCUAGAAAUGAAUGACAGGGAGAGACAGGAUGUUGUGGCAAUCUGCAAAACAUUCCACACCACUGCAAAAGACCUUUCAACCAAGUUCCUGACUGAUCUAGGGCGACAUAAUUACGUGACACCGACAUCCUAUCUGGAGCUGAUCGCAGCUUUUCGUCAGCUGCUCACUCAGCAAAGGGACAAUGUUUUGAAAGCCAAGCAACGGUACACCAAUGGUCUGGACAAGCUUGCCUUUGCGGAAUCUCAGGUUGGGGAGAUGAAAAAAGAGCUGAUUGAUUUGCAGCCGAAACUGGAGCAGGCCAAAAUUGAAAACACGAACAUGAUGAAGGUGAUUGAAGUGGAGUCUGUGGAGGUGGAAGCUAAAAGCAAAGUGGUGCGGGUGGAUGAAGAAGCGGCGACUUUGAAGGCCGCAGGUGCUCAGGCGCUGAAGGAUGAAUGUGAGAGCGACUUGGCUGAGGCCAUCCCGGUUUUGGAGGCUGCUCUUGGCGCCCUAAACACAGUGACUGCCUCUGAUGUCACGAUUGUGAAGUCCAUGAAAAACCCCCCUGCUGGUGUGAAGCUGGUGAUGUCAGCUGUCUGCGUCAUGAAGGAAAUCAAACCGGACAGGAUCGCUGAUCCAAACACGCCAGGAAAGAAGAUCAUGGACUACUGGGGUCCAAGCAAGAAGUUGCUGGGUGAUAUGAACUUUCUGAGAGAUCUUAAAGAGUAUGACAAAGAUAAUAUUCCGGUCGCUGUGAUGCAAAAGAUCCGAAGUGAGUUUAUCAAUAACGAAGACUUCGACCCUGCAAUCGUGGCUAAGGCCUCCUCUGCUGCUGCCGGACUCUGCAAGUGGAUCAAAGCGAUGGAGUCUUACGACAGGGUGGCAAAGGUUGUGGCUCCUAAAAAAGAGAAGCUUGCAGAGGCUGAGGAGUCCUUGGCUGCCACCAUGGCCGUUCUGGAUGAAAAAAGAGCAGAACUGAAAGAGGUCAUGGACCGUCUGGCUGCUCUUGAGAAGACCUUUCAGGAGAAAACAGAUGAGAAAGCACAGCUGGAGCAACAGGUGGAGAUGUGUGCCCGGAAGUUGGAGAGAGCUGAGAAGCUCAUUGGUGGACUGGGUGGAGAGAAGACCAGAUGGUCCAAUGCAGCGGAUGAUCUACAGAACACAUAUGACAACCUGACUGGAGAUGUUCUGAUCUCAGCUGGGGUCAUCUCCUACCUAGGCGCCUUCACUGUUGGAUUUAGACAGGACAUCACCAAGACAUGGACUCAGUUGUGCCAAUCCAAGAACAUCCCAUCAUCAGAUGACUUCUCGCUCAGCAAGACUUUAGGAGAUCCCAUCAAAAUCCGAGCUUGGAACAUCGCUGGUCUUCCCAGUGAUUCUUUCUCUGUGGACAAUGGCGUUGUUGUCAGCAAUUCACGUAGAUGGCCCCUGAUGAUUGACCCUCAGGGUCAGGCCAACAAGUGGGUGAAGAACUCAGAGAAGGAGAACAACUUGAAUGUGAUCAAACUGACUGACGGGGACUACAUGAGAACUCUGGAGAAUGCCAUUCAGUUCGGAACACCCUUGCUGUUGGAAAACGUCGGUGAGGAGCUGGACCCUUCACUGGAACCUCUACUGCUCAAGCAAACUUUUAAACAAGGUGGUGUUGAGUGUAUCCGGCUGGGGGAGAAUGUGAUUGAGUACUCCUUCAAUUUCCGCUUUUACAUUACAACCAAGCUGAGGAACCCCCAUUAUCUACCAGAACUGGCGACCAAAGUCACCUUGCUCAAUUUCAUGAUCACCCUAGAGGGUUUGGAGGAUCAGCUGCUGGGAAUCGUGGUGGCAAAAGAAAGACCAGAGCUGGAGGAGGAGAGAAACGCUCUGAUCUUGCAGUCGGCGGAAAACAAACGGCAGCUGAAGGAAAUCGAGGACAAGAUUCUGAUGACACUUCAGUCGUCAGAGGGCAACAUCCUUGAAGAUGAGAGCGCCAUUCAGAUCUUGGACUCUGCCAAGAUCAUGUCCAAUGAGAUCAGCCAAAAACAGCAGAUCGCAGAGAAAACUGAGAUCAAGAUUGCUGAGUCAAGAGAGGGCUACAGAUCAGUUGCCAACCACUCAUCCAUUCUGUUCUUCACCAUUGCCGACCUCACCAACAUUGAUCCCAUGUACCAGUAUUCUCUCACUUGGUUUGUCAACCUCUACAUCAAGUCAAUCGGAGACAGUGAGAAGUCUGAUGAUCUGGAAGAAAGACUGCAGAUCCUCACCGACUACUUCACCUACAACCUAUACAGCAACGUCUGCCGCUCUCUGUUUGAGAAGGAUAAACUGCUUUUCUCCUUUCUCCUCUGCUGCAAUCUGCUCCUGGCAAAAAAAGGCAUUGACUACGGCGACUUCAUGUUUUUCCUGACUGGAGGAGUUGGUCUGCAGAACACGCUUGCAAACCCUGACCCCAGCUGGCUCCAAGAAAAGAGCUGGGAUGAGAUUUGUAGAGCAAGCGAUCUCCCUGGAUUGCAAGGAGUCAAGGAAGCAUUCAUGGAGAAUGCAGCGGACUUCAGACCCAUUUAUGAAAGCAAGGACCCCUGUAACGCCCCUGUGCCAUCGCCGUGGUGCACCAAGCUCAAUGAACUGCAGCAGAUGAUCAUCGUCCGCUGCCUCAGACCUGACAAAAUAGUCCCAGCUGUGGUUAAGUAUGUCACCAUCAAGCUGGGGAAGAAGUUUGUGCAGCCGCCACCUUUCGACUUGACCAAGAGCUACCUGGACUCCAAUGCCACCAUCCCGCUUGUGUUCGUGUUGUCCCCUGGAGCUGACCCCAUGGCGAGCUUACUGAAGUUUGCAAAUGACAAGGACAUGGGUGGUAGUAAGUUCCAGUCCAUCUCCUUGGGCCAGGGUCAGGGACCCAUUGCGGCCAAGAUGAUUUUCUCUGCCAUGCAGGAUGGAACGUGGGUGUGUUUGCAGAACUGCCACUUGGCUGUCUCCUGGAUGACAAGUUUAGAAAAGAUUUGCGAGGAAUUGCACCCAGAUUCAUGUCAUCAGAAUUUCCGUCUGUGGCUCACCAGCUACCCGUCACCCAAGUUCCCAGUGACAAUCCUGCAGAAUGGGGUGAAGAUGACCAACGAGCCCCCGACUGGACUUCGACUGAACCUGCUCCAGUCUUACAUGACAGAUCCUCUGUCCGACCAAAACUUUUUUAACAACUGCCCGUCUAAGGAGUUGAUUUGGGAGAAGCUUCUGUACGGCUUGUGCUUCUUUCACGCUCUCGUUCAAGAGAGAAAAAAGUUUGGUCCUCUUGGCUGGAACAUUCCGUACGGCUUCAACGAGUCCGACCUCCAUAUCAGUAUCCGGCAGCUCCAGUUGUUUGUAAAUGAAUAUGAUGAAGUUCCCUUUGAGGCCAUAAGCUAUCUAACCGGGGAGUGCAACUAUGGAGGACGUGUGACAGACGACUGGGACCGACGGCUGCUGCUAACCAUGCUGGCUAACUUCUACAACCAGGAUGUGAUUGACAAGUCCUGCUACAAUUUCUCCCCCAGUGGGGACUACUACUCUCCUCCGAAAUCUAAAUACACCGAGUACAUCAAGUUUAUAAAAGGACUUCCUUUAAGUCAACAACCAGAAGUCUUUGGGAUGCACGAGAACGCAGACAUUUCCAAAGAUAUUCAGCAAACCAAAUUGUUGUUUGACUCACUGCUUCUCACUCAAGGAGGCGGGAGUAAAGGAGGGUCAGGGUCAGGGGGCGACAGUGCCCUCUAUGACAUCGCCAAUGAUAUCUUGACAAAGAUGCCCCCCAAUUUUGACACGGAGGCUGCUCUUGCCAGGUUUCCCGUCCUGUAUGAAGAGAGCAUGAACACCGUCCUUGUUCAAGAGAUGGAGCGCUACAACGUGCUGACCAGCACCCUGCGUGUUAGCCUGCAGAACUUGCUGAAGGCCAUCAAGGGUUUGGUGGUGAUGGACGCAGAGCUAGAAGCAAUCGCUGGCUCUUUGCUCGUAGGCAAAGUUCCAGAGAGGUGGGCCAAGCGCUCGUAUCCGAGUCUCAAACCUUUGGGGAGCUACAUCACUGACUUUCUUCUCAGACUUAAGUUUUUACAGGUUUGGUUUGAAAGCACUAAGCCCAACGUUUUCUGGUUGUCGGGCUUCUUCUUCACGCAGGCCUUUCUGACUGGAGCGAUGCAGAACUACGCCAGGAAAUAUCAGAUCCCCAUUGAUCUCUUGAGCUUUGAUUUCGAGGUUCUGCCAAUCGACGAGUCAGACACCUGCCCUGAUGAUGGUGUUUACACCAUCGGAUUGUUUUUGGACGGAGCACGGUGGGACAAAGAAAGUGGAGUCCUGAAUGAGCAGUAUCCCAAGAUUCUUUUUGACACUAUGCCAAUAAUCUGGAUUAAACCAAUUAAAAAAAUCGGCACGGCUCAGCAGGCUCAGGUGAUGUACAUGUGUCCGCUCUACAAGACCAGUGAGAGGAAGGGCACCCUCUCCACCACGGGCCACUCCACCAACUACAUCAUUUCAAUGACACUGCCCACCAGCAAUCCCCCUCAGCACUGGAUCAAGAGAGGCGUUGCAUUGCUCGCUCAGCUGGACGACUGAGAUGGGAAGGUCACCCUUAUAGUGAAGCUACUGAAGGACUGACAGAUGACCUCUGACACGAAAGAAGACUUGGACCUGUCAGAGGAUGACUUUGAUGAGGAUGAGGCAACACAAUAUAUCAUUGAACAAAGCCUGAUUCAAUACCGGAAACUAAAAGGACUCAAUCCAAGGUCUGUUUUAAGUGUUAACUGUCCGUUGUAAUUUCUUAUCAUACUUUUUCUUUUAUGAAGUGACGGGGAUCUAAGUGACAAUCCAGAUGAGAUUUUUAAGGCAAUCAAGGAAGGUGAUGUGGAUUUGAUCAACACUCUGGCCGAACAGUCGGAG